Molecule: RNase P RNA, 384 nt
Filed under: zebrafish metagenome
Description: Bacterial RNase P class A
Rfam family: Bacterial RNase P class A
About the family: Ribonuclease P (RNase P) is a ubiquitous endoribonuclease, found in archaea, bacteria and eukarya as well as chloroplasts and mitochondria.
Source: RNAcentral
AGUCGGCCGGAUGGCCGCUGCCUUCGGGCAGAGGAAAGUCCGGGCUCCACGGAGAUACGGCGCCGGAUAACGUCCGGCGGGGGCGACCCCAGGGAAAGCGCCACAGAAAGCAAACCGCCAACGCCUUCGGGCGCGGGCAAGGGUGAAAGGGUGCGGUAAGAGCGCACCGCGCGGGCGGCAACGUCUGCGGCAUGGCAAGCCCCGCCGGGAGCAAAACCGAAUAGGGGCGACAGGGUCUGCGCUCGCGCAGGCACAGCCCGUCUCCGGGCCGUCGCCCGGGUUGGUUGCUAGAGGCGGCCGGUAACGGCCGUCCCAGAGGAAUGGCCAUCGCGCUGCGCGCGCUCGCGCGGGCAGCCUUACAGAACCCGGCUUACAGGCCGACUG